RNAcentral lists this ribosomal RNA (791 nucleotides) under uncultured bacterium. RNAcentral's name for it is "bacterial SSU rRNA". It matches the Rfam family "Bacterial small subunit ribosomal RNA", at positions 60 to 811 of the family's 1533-position model. The record is from RNAcentral.
AGUCGAGCGAGCUUGCCUAGAUGAAUUUGGUGCUUGCACCAGAUGAAACUAGAUACAAGCGAGCGGCGGACGGGUGAGUAACACGUGGGUAACCUGCCCAAGAGACUGGGAUAACACCUGGAAACAGAUGCUAAUACCGGAUAACAACACUAGACGCAUGUCUAGAGUUUAAAAGAUGGUUCUGCUAUCACUCUUGGAUGGACCUGCGGUGCAUUAGCUAGUUGGUAAGGUAACGGCUUACCAAGGCAAUGAUGCAUAGCCGAGUUGAGAGACUGAUCGGCCACAUUGGGACUGAGACACGGCCCAAACUCCUACGGGAGGCAGCAGUAGGGAAUCUUCCACAAUGGACGCAAGUCUGAUGGAGCAACGCCGCGUGAGUGAAGAAGGGUUUCGGCUCGUAAAGCUCUGUUGGUAGUGAAGAAAGAUAGAGGUAGUAACUGGCCUUUAUUUGACGGUAAUUACUUAGAAAGUCACGGCUAACUACGUGCCAGCAGCCGCGGUAAUACGUAGGUGACAAGCGUUGUCCGGAUUUAUUGGGCGUAAAGCGAGUGCAGGCGGUUCAAUAAGUCUGAUGUGAAAGCCUUCGGCUCAACCGGAGAAUUGCAUCAGAAACUGUUGAACUUGAGUGCAGAAGAGGAGAGUGGAACUCCAUGUGUAGCGGUGGAAUGCGUAGAUAUAUGGAAGAACACCAGUGGCGAAGGUGGCUCUCUGGUCUGCAACUGACGCUGAGGCUCGAAAGCAUGGGUAGCGAACAGGAUUAGAUACCCUGGUAGUCCAUGCCGUAAACGAUG